Triticum aestivum (bread wheat) is the source of this 135-nucleotide non-coding RNA. NCBI's taxonomy places the organism in Eukaryota, Viridiplantae, Streptophyta, Magnoliopsida, Poales, Poaceae. The record is from Rfam.
CAUAUACUCCCUCCGUCCCAAAAUUCUUGUCUUAGAUUUGUCUAAAUACGGAUGUAUCAAGUCACGUUUUAGUAUUAGAUACAUCCGUAUCUAGACAAAUCUAAGACAGGAAUUUUGGGACGGAGGGAGUACUUU